CGCUGGCGGCAUGCUUUACACAUGCAAGUCGAACGGUAACAGGCCUUCGGGUGCUGACGAGUGGCGAACGGGUGAGUAAUGCAUCGGAACGUGCCCAGUCGUGGGGGAUAACUGCUCGAAAGAGCAGCUAAUACCGCAUACGAUCUGUGGAUGAAAGCGGGGGACCUUCGGGCCUCGCGCGAUUGGAGCGGCCGAUGUCAGAUUAGGUAGUUGGUGGGGUAAAGGCCUACCAAGCCGACGAUCUGUAGCUGGUCUGAGAGGACGACCAGCCACACUGGGACUGAGACACGGCCCAGACUCCUACGGGAGGCAGCAGUGGGGAAUUUUGGACAAUGGGCGCAAGCCUGAUCCAGCAAUGCCGCGUGCGGGAAGAAGGCCUUCGGGUUGUAAACCGCUUUUGUACGGAACGAAAAGGCUCUGGCGAAUACCUGGGGCUGAUGACGGUACCGUAAGAAUAAGCACCGGCUAACUACGUGCCAGCAGCCGCGGUAAUACGUAGGGUGCGAGCGUUAAUCGGAAUUACUGGGCGUAAAGCGUGCGCAGGCGGUUGUGUAAGACAGGCGUGAAAUCCCCGGGCUUAACCUGGGAAUGGCGCUUGUGACUGCACGGCUGGAGUACGGCAGAGGGGGAUGGAAUUCCGCGUGUAGCAGUGAAAUGCGUAGAUAUGCGGAGGA
RNAcentral lists this ribosomal RNA (674 nucleotides) under uncultured bacterium. RNAcentral's name for it is "bacterial SSU rRNA". It matches the Rfam family "Bacterial small subunit ribosomal RNA", at positions 34 to 705 of the family's 1533-position model. The record is from RNAcentral.